RNAcentral lists this ribosomal RNA (571 nucleotides) under uncultured bacterium. Its description in RNAcentral is "bacterial SSU rRNA". It matches the Rfam family "Bacterial small subunit ribosomal RNA", at positions 108 to 677 of the family's 1533-position model. The record is from RNAcentral.
GCGUAACGCGUGAGCGACAUGCCCGUUGCCCGGGGACAACCGGUGGAAACGCCGACUAAUCCCCGAUGGGAUACGAUGCUUCAUGGCAUUGUAUUGAAAGUUACGGCGGCGACGGAUUGGCUCGCGUCCGAUUAGCUUGUUGGCGGGGUAACGGCCCACCAAGGCUACGAUCGGUAGGGGUUCUGAGAGGAAGGCCCCCCACAAUGGGACUGAGACACGGCCCAUACUCCUACGGGAGGCAGCAGUGAGGAAUAUUGGUCAAUGGGCGGAAGCCUGAACCAGCCAUGCCGCGUGCGGGAAGGAGGCCCUAUGGGCUGUGAACCGCUUUUGCCUGGGGGCAAUAAGGGCGUCGCGCACGCCCGAUGAGAGUACCAGGCGAAUAAGCAUCGGCUAACUCCGUGCCAGCAGCCGCGGUAAUACGGGGGAUGCGAGCGUUAUCCGGAUUCAUUGGGUUUAAAGGGUGCGUAGGCUGUGCGUCAAGUCGGGGGUGAAAUUCCGGUGCUCAACACCGGGGCUGCCCUUGAUACUGUCGCGCUGGAGUGCGGAUGCCGCCGGAGGAAUGAGUGGUGUA